Molecule: ribosomal RNA, 520 nt
Filed under: uncultured prokaryote
Description: bacterial SSU rRNA
Rfam family: Bacterial small subunit ribosomal RNA
Source: RNAcentral
CCAUGCCGCGUGUAUGAAGAAGGUCUUCGGGUUGUAAACUGCUUUAGUUCGGAACGAAAGGGUCCUGUCUAAUACGUGGGGGUAAUGACGGUACCGUAAGAAUAAGCACCGGCUAACUACGUGCCAGCAGCCGCGGUAAUACGUAGGGUGCAAGCGUUAAUCGGAAUUACUGGGCGUAAAGCGUGCGCAGGCGGUUCUGUAAGACAGAUGUGAAAUCCCCGGGCUCAACCUGGGAACUGCAUUCGUGACUGCUUAGCUAGAGUACGGUAGAGGGGGAUGGAAUUCCCUGUGUAGCAGUGAAAUGCGUAGAUAUGCGAAGGAACACCGAUGGCGAAGGCAAUCCCCUGGGCCGGUACUGACGCUCAUGCACGAAAGCGUGGGGAGCAAACAGGAUUAGAUACCCUGGUAGUCCACGCCCUAAACGAUGUCAACUGGUCGUUGGGACUCUACUGACUCAAUAACGAAACUUACGCAUUAAGUUGACCGGCUGGGGAAUACCGCCGCAAGGUUGAAACUCAAA